Molecule: ribosomal RNA, 356 nt
Filed under: uncultured Glomeraceae
Lineage: Eukaryota; Fungi; Glomeromycota; Glomeromycetes; Glomerales; Glomeraceae
Description: SSU rRNA
Rfam family: Eukaryotic small subunit ribosomal RNA
Source: RNAcentral
AGCAGCCGCGGUAAUUCCAGCUCCAAUAGCGUAUAUUAAAGUUGUUGCAGUUAAAAAGCUCGUAGUUGAAUUUCGGGGUCAGUAGAUUGGUCGUGCCACUGGUAUGUACUGGUCUCACUGGCUCCUCCUUCCUGAUGAACCGUAAUGCCAUUAAUUUGGUGUUGCGGGGAGACUGGACUGUUACUUUGAAAAAAUUAGAGUGUUUAAAGCAGGCUAACGCUUGAAUACAUUAGCAUGGAAUAAUGAAAUAGGACGUUCGAUCUUAUUUUGUUGGUUUCUAAGAUUGACGUAAUGAUUAAUAGGGAUAGUUGGGGGCAUUAGUAUUCAAUUGUCAGAGGUGAAAUUCUUGGAUUUAU